RNAcentral lists this ribosomal RNA (326 nucleotides) under uncultured bacterium. RNAcentral describes it as "bacterial SSU rRNA". It matches the Rfam family "Bacterial small subunit ribosomal RNA", at positions 568 to 898 of the family's 1533-position model. The record is from RNAcentral.
UGUGCAGGCGGACUGGCGGGUCCAUGGUGAAAGCUCACGGCUUAACCGGGAAACUGCUGUGGAAACUACCAGUCUAGAGGGCGGAAGAGGAAACUGGAACUUCCGGUGUAGCGGUAAAAUGCGUAGAUAUCGGAAGGAACGCCGAUAGCGAAGGCAGGUUUCUGGGACGCCCCUGACGCUGAAACACGAAAGCUAGGGGAGCAAACAGGAUUAGAUACCCUGGUAGUCCUAGCUGUAAACGAUGUACAUUAGGCGUGGGGAGUUUUUCCCGUGCCGGAGCCAACGCGUUAAAUGUACCGCCUGGGGACUACGGCCGCAAGGUUGAA